This 252-nucleotide ribosomal RNA is filed under the name uncultured bacterium. Its description in RNAcentral is "partial 16S ribosomal RNA". It matches the Rfam family "Bacterial small subunit ribosomal RNA", at positions 524 to 776 of the family's 1533-position model. The record is from RNAcentral.
UACGAGAGGCCCAAACGUUAUUCGGAAUUACUGGGCUUAAAGAGUUCGUAGGCGGCGCAGAAAGUAGGGUGUGAAAGCCCUCGGCUUAACCGAGGAAUUGCGCUCUAAACUACUGUGCUUGAGGACCUAGAGGUGAGCAGAACUGAUGGUGGAGCGGUGAAAUGCGUUGAUAUCAUCAGGAAUACCGGAGGCGAAGGCGGCUCACUGGGGGUUUUCUGACGCUGAGGAACGAAAGCCAGGGGAGCGAACGGG